AUUGAACGCUGGCGGCAGGCCUAACACAUGCAAGUCGAGCGGAUGAAGGGAGCUUGCUCCUGGAUUCAGCGGCGGACGGGUGAGUAAUGCCUAGGAAUCUGCCUGGUAGUGGGGGAUAACGUCCGGAAACGGGCGCUAAUACCGCAUACGUCCUGCGGGAGAAAGUGGGGGAUCUUCGGACCUCACGCUAUCAGAUGAGCCUAGGUCGGAUUAGCUAGUUGGUGGGGUAAAUGCCUACCAAGGCGACGAUCCGUAACUGGUCUGAGAGGAUGAUCAGUCACACGGGAACUGAGACACGGUCCAGACUCCUACGGUAGGCAGCAGUGGGGAAUAUUGGACAAUGGGCGAAAGCAUGAUCCAGCCAUGCCGCGUGUGUGAAGAAGGUCUUCGGAUUGUAAAGCACUUUAAGUUGGGAGGAAGGGCAGUAAGUUAAUACCUUGCUGUUUUGACGUUACCAACAGAAUAAGCACCGGCUAACUUCGUG
RNAcentral lists this ribosomal RNA (484 nucleotides) under uncultured bacterium. Its description in RNAcentral is "partial 16S ribosomal RNA". It matches the Rfam family "Bacterial small subunit ribosomal RNA", at positions 30 to 507 of the family's 1533-position model. The record is from RNAcentral.